CCUACGGGGGGCUGCAGUGGGGAAUAUUGGACAAUGGGCGAAAGCCUGAUCCAGCCAUGCCGCGUGUGUGAAGAAGGCCUUCGGGUUGUAAAGCACUUUCAGUGGGGAAGAAAGCCUUGGGGCUAAUACCCUCGAGGAAGGACAUCACCCACAGAAGAAGCACCGGCUAACUCCGUGCCAGCAGCCGCGGUAAUACGGAGGGUGCGAGCGUUAAUCGGAAUUACUGGGCGUAAAGCGCGCGUAGGCGGUCUGAUAAGCCGGUUGUGAAAGCCCCGGGCUCAACCUGGGAACGGCAUCCGGAACUGUCAGGCUAGAGUGCAGGAGAGGAAGGUAGAAUUCCCGGUGUAGCGGUGAGAUGCGUAGAGAUCGGGAGGAAUACCAGUGGCGAAGGCGGGCUUGUGGACUGACACUGACGCUGAGGUGCGAAAGCGUGGGUAGCAAACAGGAUUAGAUACCCGGGUAGUC
This 465-nucleotide ribosomal RNA is filed under the name Vreelandella stevensii. RNAcentral's name for it is "partial 16S ribosomal RNA". It matches the Rfam family "Bacterial small subunit ribosomal RNA", at positions 338 to 795 of the family's 1533-position model. The record is from RNAcentral. Lineage: Bacteria; Pseudomonadati; Pseudomonadota; Gammaproteobacteria; Oceanospirillales; Halomonadaceae.